CAACUGGUCUUUUUUGAGACCACCAUAACUCUGAUACCCAAACUAG
Molecule: non-coding RNA, 46 nt
Organism: Equus caballus (horse)
Lineage: Eukaryota; Metazoa; Chordata; Mammalia; Perissodactyla; Equidae
Source: Rfam